This 491-nucleotide ribosomal RNA is filed under the name uncultured bacterium. RNAcentral describes it as "partial 16S ribosomal RNA". It matches the Rfam family "Bacterial small subunit ribosomal RNA", at positions 28 to 507 of the family's 1533-position model. The record is from RNAcentral.
GAUGAACGCUAGCGACAGGCUUAACACAUGCAAGUCGAGGGGCAGCAUGAACUUAGCUUGCUAAGUUUGAUGGCGACCGGCGCACGGGUGAGUAACGCGUAUGCAACUUACCUAUCAGAGGAGAAUAGCUCAUCGAAAGAUGAAUUAAUGCUCCAUAAAACAGGGGUCCCGCAUGGGAAUAUUUGUUAAAGAUUCAUCGCUGAUAGAUAGGCAUGCGUUCCAUUAGGCAGUUGGCGGGGUAACGGCCCACCAAACCGACGAUGGAUAGGGGUUCUGAGAGGAAGGUCCCCCACAUUGGUACUGAGGCACGGACCAAACUCCUACGGGAGGCAGCAGUGAGGAAUAUUGGUCAAUGGCCGAGAGGCUGAACCAGCCAAGUCGCGUGAAGGAAGAAUGAUCUAUGGUUUGUAAACUUCUUUUAUACGGGAAUAAAGUGUGGAACGCGUUCCAUUUUGUAUGUACCGUAUGAAUAAGCAUCGGCUAACUCCGUG